UGCAAUGACAUCUGCCCCUGCCCAAGUCCUCCGCCCUUGGGAGGUCCCACGACGGGCCUUGGCUCCAACCUUCAGCACCCAAGACCCCAGGAUGGCCCAUACUCUCAGGGGCCCCUGCCCUGGCCCACUUUCCUGGUCGUGUUCUCUUAGAAGUGGCUUCUAGCUACAAAAGCCCAGGUCCUGGCACAGGCUAGGUGCCUUCUGAGUGUUGGUUGAUGCAGGAAUAGACAUGAUCAUGUGACUGCUGCCCUCCCUCCAACCCCCAUCCAGCAGGGAGAGGCCUACUCUGGCCUCUGGAAGCCCGAGAAGAGGCUCACCUGCCCAAAGGCCUUCCGUCCAAAGUUCAAGGGAGCCCCACCCCUCCCGGAUGCUCAGCUCACCCCACCCCCCACAGGCAGGGCUACAGUGUGGUGGGCACUGCCACACCCGGACCUGCCACAACCUCUUGGAGUCAGUGACAAGAACCAAACGUACCCCAGCCUCCACUCCUCCCCUUUCCUGCUUUUAUUAUUUUCUUUUCCAUAAAGAUUAGUCUGUGUUGCUCCUCUAUCAAGGCCUGGAGGAUAAACAUGUGGUCCGGAGGCAGAGAAACCCCAGGCCUGAAGGCCCCACUGCCCCCACCCCAGCAGCAUAAACCCAGGGCUUUUAAGCAAG
RNAcentral lists this long non-coding RNA (654 nucleotides) under Pongo abelii (Sumatran orangutan). RNAcentral describes it as "lincRNA". Lineage: Eukaryota; Metazoa; Chordata; Mammalia; Primates; Hominidae. The record is from RNAcentral.